UACAGGGGGUGCAAACGUUGCUCGGAUUUACUGGGCGUAAAGGGCGCGUAGGCGGUAGCACAAGUCAGUUGUGAAAUCUCCGGGCUUAACUCGAAAAGGUCAACUGAUACUGUGCGACUAGAGUGCAGAAGGGGCAACUGGAAUUCUCGGUGUAGCGGUGAAAUGCGCAGAUAUCGGGAGGAACACCGGUGGCGAAGGCGGUUCUCUGGGCCUUACCUGACGCUGAGGAGCGAAAGCGUGGGGAGCGAACAGG
RNAcentral lists this ribosomal RNA (253 nucleotides) under uncultured bacterium. Its description in RNAcentral is "partial 16S ribosomal RNA". It matches the Rfam family "Bacterial small subunit ribosomal RNA", at positions 524 to 776 of the family's 1533-position model. The record is from RNAcentral.